RNAcentral lists this ribosomal RNA (2903 nucleotides) under Enterobacter cloacae. RNAcentral's name for it is "bacterial LSU rRNA". It matches the Rfam family "Bacterial large subunit ribosomal RNA". The record is from RNAcentral. Lineage: Bacteria; Pseudomonadati; Pseudomonadota; Gammaproteobacteria; Enterobacterales; Enterobacteriaceae.
UUAAGCGACUAAGCGUACACGGUGGAUGCCCUGGCAGUCAGAGGCGAUGAAGGACGUGCUAAUCUGCGAAAAGCGCCGGCGAGGUGAUAUGAACCCUUGACCCGGCGAUGUCCGAAUGGGGAAACCCAGUGUGAUUCGUCACACUAUCGUUAACUGAAUACAUAGGUUAACGAGGCGAACCGGGGGAACUGAAACAUCUAAGUACCCCGAGGAAAAGAAAUCAACCGAGAUUCCCCCAGUAGCGGCGAGCGAACGGGGAGCAGCCCGGAGUCUGAAUCAGCUUGUGUGUUAGUGGAACGGUCUGGAAAGUCCGACGGUACAGGGUGAUAGUCCCGUACACGAAAGCACACUUGCUGUGAACUCGAAGAGUAGGGCGGGACACGUGGUAUCCUGUCUGAAUAUGGGGGGACCAUCCUCCAAGGCUAAAUACUCCUGACUGACCGAUAGUGAACCAGUACCGUGAGGGAAAGGCGAAAAGAACCCCGGCGAGGGGAGUGAAAAAGAACCUGAAACCGUGUACGUACAAGCAGUGGGAGCACCUUCGUGGUGUGACUGCGUACCUUUUGUAUAAUGGGUCAGCGACUUAUAUUCUGUAGCAAGGUUAACCGUAUAGGGGAGCCGAAGGGAAACCGAGUCUUAACUGGGCGUUAAGUUGCAGGGUAUAGACCCGAAACCCGGUGAUCUAGCCAUGGGCAGGUUGAAGGUUGGGUAACACUAACUGGAGGACCGAACCGACUAAUGUUGAAAAAUUAGCGGAUGACCUGUGGCUGGGGGUGAAAGGCCAAUCAAACCGGGAGAUAGCUGGUUCUCCCCGAAAGCUAUUUAGGUAGCGCCUCGUGAACUCAUCUUCGGGGGUAGAGCACUGUUUCGGCUAGGGGGCCAUCCCGGCUUACCAACCCGAUGCAAACUACGAAUACCGAAGAAUGUUAUCACGGGAGACACACGGCGGGUGCUAACGUCCGUCGUGAAGAGGGAAACAACCCAGACCGCCAGCUAAGGUCCCAAAGUCAUGGUUAAGUGGGAAACGAUGUGGGAAGGCACAGACAGCCAGGAUGUUGGCUUAGAAGCAGCCAUCAUUUAAAGAAAGCGUAAUAGCUCACUGGUCGAGUCGGCCUGCGCGGAAGAUGUAACGGGGCUAAACCAUGCACCGAAGCUGCGGCAGCGACACUAUGUGUUGUUGGGUAGGGGAGCGUUCUGUAAGCCGUUGAAGGUGUGCUGUGAGGCAUGCUGGAGGUAUCAGAAGUGCGAAUGCUGACAUAAGUAACGAUAAAGCGGGUGAAAAGCCCGCUCGCCGGAAGACCAAGGGUUCCUGUCCAACGUUAAUCGGGGCAGGGUGAGUCGACCCCUAAGGCGAGGCCGAAAGGCGUAGUCGAUGGGAAACAGGUUAAUAUUCCUGUACUUGGUGUUACUGCGAAGGGGGGACGGAGAAGGCUAUGUCAGCCGGGCGACGGUUGUCCCGGUUUAAGCAUGUAGGCGGAGGUUCCAGGUAAAUCCGGUACCUUAUUAACGCUGAGGUGUGAUGACGAGGCACUACGGUGCUGAAGUGAUAAAUGCCCUGCUUCCAGGAAAAGCCUCUAAGCAUCAGGUAACACGAAAUCGUACCCCAAACCGACACAGGUGGUCAGGUAGAGAAUACCAAGGCGCUUGAGAGAACUCGGGUGAAGGAACUAGGCAAAAUGGUGCCGUAACUUCGGGAGAAGGCACGCUGAUGUGUAGGUGAAGCCCCUGCGGGCGGAGCUGAAAUCAGUCGAAGAUACCAGCUGGCUGCAACUGUUUAUUAAAAACACAGCACUGUGCAAACACGAAAGUGGACGUAUACGGUGUGACGCCUGCCCGGUGCCGGAAGGUUAAUUGAUGGGGUUAGCUGUAAGGCGAAGCUCUUGAUCGAAGCCCCGGUAAACGGCGGCCGUAACUAUAACGGUCCUAAGGUAGCGAAAUUCCUUGUCGGGUAAGUUCCGACCUGCACGAAUGGCGUAAUGAUGGCCAGGCUGUCUCCACCCGAGACUCAGUGAAAUUGAACUCGCUGUGAAGAUGCAGUGUACCCGCGGCAAGACGGAAAGACCCCGUGAACCUUUACUAUAGCUUGACACUGAACACUGGUCCUUGAUGUGUAGGAUAGGUGGGAGGCUUUGAAGCGUGGACGCCAGUCUGCGUGGAGCCGCCCUUGAAAUACCACCCUUUAAUGGCUGGUGUUCUAACGUAGACCCGUAAUCCGGGUUGCGGACAGUGUCUGGUGGGUAGUUUGACUGGGGCGGUCUCCUCCCAAAGAGUAACGGAGGAGCACGAAGGUUGGCUAAUCCUGGUCGGACAUCAGGAGGUUAGUGCAAUGGCAUAAGCCAGCUUGACUGCGAGCGUGACGGCGCGAGCAGGUGCGAAAGCAGGUCAUAGUGAUCCGGUGGUUCUGAAUGGAAGGGCCAUCGCUCAACGGAUAAAAGGUACUCCGGGGAUAACAGGCUGAUACCGCCCAAGAGUUCAUAUCGACGGCGGUGUUUGGCACCUCGAUGUCGGCUCAUCACAUCCUGGGGCUGAAGUAGGUCCCAAGGGUAUGGCUGUUCGCCAUUUAAAGUGGUACGCGAGCUGGGUUUAGAACGUCGUGAGACAGUUCGGUCCCUAUCUGCCGUGGGCGCUGGAGAAUUGAGGGGGGCUGCUCCUAGUACGAGAGGACCGGAGUGGACGCAUCACUGGUGUUCGGGUUGUCAUGCCAAUGGCACUGCCCGGUAGCUAAAUGCGGAAGAGAUAAGUGCUGAAAGCAUCUAAGCACGAAACUUGCCCCGAGAUGAGUUCUCCCUGAGACUUUAAGUCUCCUGAAGGAACGUUGAAGACGACGACGUUGAUAGGUCGGGUGUGUAAGCGCAGCGAUGCGUUGAGCUAACCGAUACUAAUGAACCGUGAGGCUUAACCUU